RNAcentral lists this ribosomal RNA (322 nucleotides) under uncultured eukaryote. RNAcentral describes it as "partial 18S ribosomal RNA". It matches the Rfam family "Eukaryotic small subunit ribosomal RNA", at positions 1470 to 1796 of the family's 1831-position model. The record is from RNAcentral.
CCCUUAGAUGUUCUGGGCCGCACGCGCGCUACACUGAGUGGAUCAGCGGGUCAGGUUGCGCGAAAGUGUUUCCUAAUCUUGAAAUCCGCUCGUGAUGGGGAUUGGCGGUUGCAAUUUUCCGUCAUGAACGAGGAAUACCUUGUAAGCGCGGGUCAUCAUCCCGCGCUGAAUACGUCCCUGCCCUUUGUACACACCGCCCGUCGCUCCUACCGAUUGAGUGGUCCGGUGAGGCUUUGGGAUCUGAGCAAAGAGAGCGUUUCGCUCGUUUUGCCCGGAAAACUCAGUCGAACCUUAUCAUUUAGAGGAAGGAGAAGUCGUAACA